GAUGAACGCUGGCGGCGUGCCUAAUACAUGCAAGUCGAGCGAACAGACGCGGAGCUUGCUCCUCUGACGUUAGCGGCGGACGGGUGAGUAACACGUGGAUAACCUACCUAUAAGACUGGGAUAACUUCGGGAAACCGGAGCUAAUACCGGAUAAUAUAUUUAACCGCAUGGUUCAAUAGUGAAAGACGGUUUUGCUGUCACUUAUAGAUUGAUCCGCGCCGCAUUAGCUAGUUGGUAAGGUAACGGCUUACCAAGGCAACGAUGCGUAGCCGACCUGAGAGGGUGAUCGGCCACACUGGAACUGAGACACGGUCCAGACUCCUACGGGAGGCAGCAGUAGGGAAUCUUCCGCAAUGGGCGAAAGCCUGACGGAGCAACGCCGCGUGAGUGAUGAAGGUCUUCGGAUCGUAAAACUCUGUUAUUAGGGAAGAACAAAUGUGUAAGUAACUAUGCACGUCUUGACGGUACCUAAUCAGAAAGCCACGGCUAACUACGUG
Molecule: ribosomal RNA, 497 nt
Filed under: uncultured bacterium
Lineage: Bacteria
Description: partial 16S ribosomal RNA
Rfam family: Bacterial small subunit ribosomal RNA
Source: RNAcentral